RNAcentral lists this ribosomal RNA (613 nucleotides) under uncultured bacterium. Its description in RNAcentral is "bacterial SSU rRNA". It matches the Rfam family "Bacterial small subunit ribosomal RNA", at positions 338 to 944 of the family's 1533-position model. The record is from RNAcentral.
CCUACUGGAGGCAGCAGUGGGGAAUUUUGGACAAUGGGCGCAAGCCUGAUCCAGCAAUGCCGCGUGAGUGAAGAAGGCCUUCGGGUUGUAAAGCUCUUUUGUCAGGGAAGAAACGGUGGGAGCUAAUAUCUCCCGCUAAUGACGGUACCUGAAGAAUAAGCACCGGCUAACUACGUGCCAGCAGCCGCGGUAAUACGUAGGGUGCAAGCGUUAAUCGGAAUUACUGGGCGUAAAGCGUGCGCAGGCGGUUUUGUAAGUCUGUCGUGAAAGCCCCGGGCUCAACCUGGGAAUUGCGAUGGAGACUGCAAGGCUUGAAUCUGGCAGAGGGGGGUAGAAUUCCACGUGUAGCAGUGAAAUGCGUAGAGAUGUGGAGGAACACCGAUGGCGAAGGCAGCCCCCUGGGUCAAGAUUGACGCUCAUGCACGAAAGCGUGGGGAGCAAACAGGAUUAGAUACCCUGGUAGUCCACGCCCUAAACGAUGUCUACUAGUUGUCGGGUUUUAAUUAACUUGGUAACGCAGCUAACGCGUGAAGUAGACCGCCUGGGGGUACGUCGCAAGAUUAAACNCAAAUGGAUUGAGNGNGAGAGNGCGAGACGACGACGAGGGAGGAGG